AGAGUUUGAUCAUGGCUCAGGAUGAACGCUGGCGGCGUGCCUAACACAUGCAAGUCGAGCGUGAAAUCUCUAAGUAAUACUUCGGUAGAGUGAAGAGAUGGAAAGCGGCGGACGGGUGAGUAACGCGUAGGUAACCUACCCCAUACACAGGGAUAGCCUAGGGAAACCUGGAUUAAUACCUGAUAAUGCAAGACUGUCACAUGACAGAAUUGCCAAAGAUUUAUCGGUAUGGGAUGGACCUGCGUCUGAUUAGUUAGUUGGUGAGGUAACGGCUCACCAAGACAGCGAUCAGUAGCCGACCUGAGAGGGUAAUCGGCCACAUUGGAACUGAGACACGGUCCAAACUCCUACGGGAGGCAGCAGUGGGGAAUAUUGCACAAUGGGCGCAAGCCUGAUGCAGCAACGCCGCGUGAGCGAAGAAGGUCUUCGGAUCGUAAAGCUCUGUCCUUGGGGAAGAAACAAAUGACG
Molecule: ribosomal RNA, 468 nt
Filed under: uncultured bacterium
Lineage: Bacteria
Description: bacterial SSU rRNA
Rfam family: Bacterial small subunit ribosomal RNA
Source: RNAcentral